UCACUUUGGCAGCAAAUAGACUAAAACUGAAAGGACACAGAGAAGAUUAACAUGGCCCCUCUGCAAGGAUGACAUGCAAAUUCGUGAAGUGUUCCAUUAAAAA
This is a small nuclear RNA of Monodelphis domestica (gray short-tailed opossum), 103 nucleotides long. The record is from RefSeq and is a predicted model, not a curated record. Lineage: Eukaryota; Metazoa; Chordata; Mammalia; Didelphimorphia; Didelphidae.